GGGGAAUAUUGGACAAUGGGCGAAAGCCUGAUCCAGCAAUGCCGCGUGGGUGAAGAAGGUCUUCGGAUUGUAAAGCCCUUUCGGCGGGGACGAUGAUGACGGUACCCGCAGAAGAAGCCCCGGCUAACUUCGUGCCAGCAGCCGCGGUAAUACGAAGGGGGCUAGCGUUGCUCGGAAUUACUGGGCGUAAAGGGCGCGUAGGCGGCGUCGUUAGUCAGGCGUGAAAUUCCUGGGCUCAACCUGGGGGCUGCGCUUGAUACAGCGAUGCUAGAGGUCAGAAGAGGCUCGUGGAAUUCCCAGUGUAGAGGUGAAAUUCGUAGAUAUUGGGAAGAACACCGGUGGCGAAGGCGGCGAGCUGGUCUGAUACUGACGCUGAGGCGCGACAGCGUGGGGAGCAAAC
RNAcentral lists this ribosomal RNA (400 nucleotides) under uncultured bacterium. RNAcentral's name for it is "bacterial SSU rRNA". It matches the Rfam family "Bacterial small subunit ribosomal RNA", at positions 356 to 773 of the family's 1533-position model. The record is from RNAcentral.